This 250-nucleotide ribosomal RNA is filed under the name uncultured bacterium. RNAcentral describes it as "partial 16S ribosomal RNA". It matches the Rfam family "Bacterial small subunit ribosomal RNA", at positions 524 to 773 of the family's 1533-position model. The record is from RNAcentral.
UACGGAGGGGGCGAGCGUUAUUCGGAAUUAUUGGGCGUAAAGCGCGCGUAGGCGGGUCGGAAAGUCGGCUGUGAAAGCCUGGGGCUCAACCUCAGAGGGUCGGCCGAUACUUUCGGUCUUGAGGGCGGUAGGGAGAAGUGGAAUGGCUGGUGUAGCGGUGAAAUGCGUAGAUAUCAGUCGGAACACCGGUGGCGAAGGCGGCUUCUUGGGCCGUUCCUGACGCUGAUGCGCGAAAGCUGGGGGAGCGAAC